Non-coding RNA from Passer montanus (Eurasian tree sparrow), 638 nucleotides. Lineage: Eukaryota; Metazoa; Chordata; Aves; Passeriformes; Passeridae. The record is from the annotation of a RefSeq genome assembly.
GUGGCGUGGCUGGGCGAGGACGGCCGGGCCCUGGCCACGGCGACGUCGGCGCCGGCCGUCCAGGCCAACGGGAUGAUGGCGGCCGAGGGCGUGGCCGCGGUGGCCGCCGAGGCCUGGGAGUCCGGGCAGGUCUUCACGUGCCGCGUGUCGCACCCCGAGCUGCUCUACCCGCGGGAGGUGACCUUGAGGAAGGCCGCCGUCCCGGACGCGUCCCCGCCCUCCAUCUACCUGCUGGCCCCGCCCCCCGAGCAGCUCCGCCUCCACACCUGGGCCACCCUCACCUGCCUGGUGCGCGACUUCAACCCGCCCGACCUGCUCGUCCAAUGGCUGCAGGACGGCCGGCCCCUCCCGCCCGGCCGCGCCCUCACCUUCCGGCCCCGCCCCGACAACGGCCACGCCCCUUCCGGCCACGCCCACCUGGCCGUCAGCACCUUGACGGUGCCGGCGCGGGACUGGGAGGGCGGCGGCGUCUUCACCUGCCUGGUGGGGCACGAGCGGCUGCCGCUGCGGCUGGCGCAGAGGUCGCUGGACAAGGCUGCCGGUAAACCCGCCAACGUCAACGUUUCCCUCAUUUUCAGUGAUGCCUUGAGUGGUUGUUACUGAUUUUGGGGUUUUUUUCCCCAAAAAAAUGCACUUUG